RNAcentral lists this ribosomal RNA (550 nucleotides) under uncultured bacterium. Its description in RNAcentral is "bacterial SSU rRNA". It matches the Rfam family "Bacterial small subunit ribosomal RNA", at positions 355 to 896 of the family's 1533-position model. The record is from RNAcentral.
UAGGGAAUCUUCGGCAAUGGACGGAAGUCUGACCGAGCAACGCCGCGUGAGUGAAGAAGGUUUUCGGAUCGUAAAGCUCUGUUGUAAGAGAAGAACGAGUGUGAGAGUGGAAAGUUCACACUGUGACGGUAUCUUACCAGAAAGGGACGGCUAACUACGUGCCAGCAGCCGCGGUAAUACGUAGGUCCCGAGCGUUGUCCGGAUUUAUUGGGCGUAAAGCAAGCGCAGGCGGUUAGAUAAGUCUGAAGUUAAAGGCUGUGGCUUAACCAUAGUAGGCUUUGGAAACUGUUUAACUUGAGUGCAAGAGGGGAGAGUGGAAUUCCAUGUGUAGCGGUGAAAUGCGUAGAUAUAUGGAGGAACACCGGCGGCGAAAGCGGCUCUCUGGCUUGUAACUGACGCUGAGGCUCGAAAGCGUGGGGAGCAAACAGGAUUAGAUACCCUGGUAGUCCACGCUGUAAACGAUGAGUGCUAGGUGUUAGACCCUUUCCGGGGUUUAGUGCCGUAGCUAACGCAUUAAGCACUCCGCCUGGGGAGUACGACCGCAAGGUUG